This 73-nucleotide transfer RNA is filed under the name Streptomyces atratus. RNAcentral's name for it is "tRNA-Ala". The record is from RNAcentral. Lineage: Bacteria; Bacillati; Actinomycetota; Actinomycetes; Kitasatosporales; Streptomycetaceae.
GUGCGACGUGGGCAAGCAGGCGGCCGGCCUUGUCGCGAACGGCCGGGGAUGUGUUCCUGUCAUGUGUCGCAGC